Molecule: ribosomal RNA, 434 nt
Filed under: uncultured bacterium
Lineage: Bacteria
Description: partial 16S ribosomal RNA
Rfam family: Bacterial small subunit ribosomal RNA
Source: RNAcentral
AGCGAACGCUGGCGGCAGGCCUAACACAUGCAAGUCGAACGAACCUUUCGGGGUUAGUGGCGGACGGGUGAGUAACACGUGGGAACGUGCCUUUAGGUUCGGAAUAACUCAGGGAAACUUGUGCUAAUACCGAAUGUGCCCUUCGGGGGAAAGAUUUAUCGCCUUUAGAGCGGCCCGCGUCUGAUUAGCUAGUUGGUUGAGGUAAUGGCUCACCAAGGCGACGAUCAGUAGCUGGUCUGAGAGGAUGAUCAGCCACAUUGGGACUGAGACACGGCCCAAACUCCUACGGGAGGCAGCAGUGGGGAAUCUUGCGCAAUGGGCGAAAGCCUGACGCAGCCAUGCCGCGUGAAUGAUGAAGGUCUUAGGAUUGUAAAAUUCUUUCACCGGGGACGAUAAUGACGGUACCCGGAGAAGAAGCCCCGGCUAACCUCGUG